GCGCAGGAAAAGAAACCAACAGGGAUUGCCUUAGUAACUGCGAGUGAAGCGGCAAAAGCUCAAAUUUGAAAUCUGGCGUCUUCAGCGUCCGAGUUGUAAUUUGGAGAGAUUUCUUCGGGGUGAACACCGGUCCAAGUUCCUUGGAACAGGACGUCACAGAGGGUGAGAAUCCCGUGUCUGACCGGUUGCUUCAUUCCAUGUGAAGAGUCUUCGACGAGUCGAGUUGUUUGGGAAUGCAGCUCAAAAUGGGUGGUAAAUUUCAUCUAAAGCUAAAUAUUGGCGAGAGACCGAUAGCGCACAAGUAGAGUGAUCGAAAGAUGAAAAGCACUUUGAAAAGAGAGUUAAAAAGUACGUGAAAUUGUUGAAAGGGAAGCGCUUGAGACCAGACUCAAUUUGUGGUGAACAUCAGUCCUUCUGGGCUGUGCACUUGCCACUUUUUGGGCCAGCAUCGGUUCUGACCGUGUGAUAAAGGUCCUGGGAAUGUAGCUCCUCUCGGGGAGUGUUAUAGCCCACGGCGUAAUGACAUGAGUUGGGACCGAGGACCGCGCUUCGGCUAGGAUGCUGGCAUAAUGGUCUUCAGCAACCCGUCUUGAAACACAGACCAAGGAGUCUAAUAUCUAUGCAAGUGUGCGGGUGGAAAACCCUUGCUUGAAAUGUAAAUGAUCGGACGUGGGAGUCCCUCCUAGUGGGGCAACCCCUGAUGC
Molecule: ribosomal RNA, 704 nt
Filed under: uncultured Ascodesmis
Lineage: Eukaryota; Fungi; Ascomycota; Pezizomycetes; Pezizales; Ascodesmidaceae
Description: eukaryotic LSU rRNA
Rfam family: Eukaryotic large subunit ribosomal RNA
Source: RNAcentral